UGGCAUUCGAGUGGCGGACGGGUGAGUAACGCGUGGGUAACCUGCCUUACACAGGGGGGUAACACCUGGAAACAGGUGCUAAUACCGCAUAAGCGCACAGGGCCGCAUGGCCCGGUGUGAAAAACUCCGGUGGUGUAAGAUGGACCCGCGUCUGAUUAGCUUGUUGGCGGGGUAGGGGCCCACCAAGGCGACGAUCAGUAGCCGGCCUGAGAGGGUGGACGGCCACAUUGGGACUGAGACACGGCCCAAACUCCUACGGGAGGCAGCAG
This 269-nucleotide ribosomal RNA is filed under the name uncultured bacterium. RNAcentral's name for it is "partial 16S ribosomal RNA". It matches the Rfam family "Bacterial small subunit ribosomal RNA", at positions 85 to 354 of the family's 1533-position model. The record is from RNAcentral.